AAACAUUAAUUGAAACCAUUCAAACUUAAUUUCGACUUAAGAUUAGAUUAACAAAUAUCAAUGUUUA
Molecule: transfer RNA, 67 nt
Filed under: Pseudocapillaria tomentosa
Lineage: Eukaryota; Metazoa; Nematoda; Enoplea; Trichinellida; Capillariidae
Description: tRNA-Arg
Source: RNAcentral